Bubalus bubalis (water buffalo) is the source of this 3650-nucleotide RNA transcript. It is a transcript of the gene named MAP6 domain containing 1, with no coding region annotated. Lineage: Eukaryota; Metazoa; Chordata; Mammalia; Artiodactyla; Bovidae. The record is from RefSeq and is a predicted model, not a curated record. The transcript is spliced from 7 exons.
AAGAAAGGUAGGUAAUACUUUGUGGCAGUGAGUGUCGUAUACAAAAAGCUAUUUUUAGGUUUUGCUUUCUAGGUUAAAAUUAUAGCUAAAUUAAGAAUUAGAAGGAACUAUCUUGGAUAAAUUCAAACUUGAAUCUGAGCCUAAUUGCAUCUUAUAUUGGAAAAUGUACAUUCUUUGAAGUGGAGCCUCUUACUGACAUAGCAGACAGGGGUUGUUGUCGUAGCUUCACUGUAGUGGAACAGCUUCUCGUGAUUGAGAAUUAUUUCUAGGAAAUGCAAUUUGAGAAUUUAAAAGUUUUUCUUGAAAGGAUUUAUAGGGGAGUUUUGGGGUCUUUUGGUGAUCUCAAAAGGUUAUGCCAAAUUUUGCACCUUGUGCUGUAGAGGGCCCGCCUUGUGUGGUGGCGGGCACAGAGCAUUGGUUUUCAUGACAGUGAGGGAGCGGUGCCCACCUCACAUAAUGUUAAGAGCUAAAUGGCAGUAUGUGCCCAACACCAAGGAAUUGUUCAGCUAUGGCGGUUCUUCAUCUUCCCCACCAGCCCAGACUCUUCUCUACUGUGAAGUACUGGUCAUUCUUACCAGGCAGGGGAUUCUAUUCUAAACUAAUGUCACUUCAAGGCAAGGUAAUUUUUUUUAACCUAGCCCUCAUCUUGCCAGUAAGGUGCUAGGGUGGUCGUGUGUGGGAACCGCCCAAGGUCACACUGCUGUGCUUUGACAUUUUCUGAAUAUGUAGCUGAUACUAACAACCCUGUGACUUACAGAUGAGGCAAGAAAUGUUUUUCAGAGAUGGGACGGGAGGCUGAGAUCAUAUGGACCUUCCACAUGGAGUCCAAAAUGAGAUUCACGUCUGUGGGCAGACCCGAAAAACAGGCAGUGAAGACAUGUCUCCUCUUUCUGAUUUGUGAUUGUCUGAGAAGGAAUGUUUAGAAGGUCAAGUAUCUACCUAUGCGAGGCCUUGGAGGUCAGCGUCCAGCUCCAGAAGCACAAGCCUAACUGUCCAAAGCUCUGGCAACUGCCCCUGCUCUCCUGUUUGCCCGCUGAGGACGGAGUGUUUUAGUCACGAGUCUCCCGAGUGGCUGACCCACGGCCGUGGGUGCAUGGAGGUCACACAGAGCAGCCCCUCAUCGCUACAUCUCGUGCUUGCAGCCUCGUACGAAUCUGGCAGCCAGUGGCCUGUGGGCGGGGCCCAGCGGACUGUUCACUCAGUACCCCCUAGGAAUGGUUGCCAUCCGGCCCCUGGCCUCUGCGAAGCCAGGUUCAAUUUGUAGGAUAGCACUUGGGGAACUUUGGAUUAAAUUAAGGAACAUUCUUCAAGUUGGAUACUUGUAAGUGCCUCCAGCCGGUUUCAGUUCCUCCAACCCCAGGCUCGCUUCUGCACCCCUCCAGAGCCGUGCGCACCGCGGAGCUGUGGCCCAGCCCUCGCUCCCUGGGUGGCGGUCCCAGGCCAGGGGGUGGAGCUGCGGCGGCGCGGGGAGGGCCGUGGGGGCGGGGCCGCAGCCGGGGGCGGCGCGGGCCGGGAGCGCGGGGAGCCGAGAGGCAGACGCCGGGCCGGCAUGGCGUGGCCCUGCAUCAGCCGCCUCUGCUGCCUGGCGCGGCGCUGGAACCAGCUGGACCGCUCCGACGUGGCCGUGCCGCUGACCCUGCACAGCUACUCGGACCUCGAGAGCGAGGAGCCAAUCCCGGGCGGUGUUCCCUCGCGCAGAGGCCCAUCUCCCGCAGGCUCCCGGGACCCUGGCCGGGAUGUGCCUCUCACUCAGUACCAGCGGGACUUCGGCGUGUGGACGGCGCCCUCGGGGUCCAGAGAUGCAACGCAGGGACGCGGACCGGGAGCAAGCAGCCGCAGGACCAAGCCCUCCGCAACCCCCGGCCGGGGGGUCUACGUGCUCCCCAUCGGCGACGCGGAUGCGGCUGCAGUGGCAACCACAUCAUACAGACAGGAAUUCCAGGCUUGGACUGGAGUGAAGCCAUCAAGAUCCACAAAAGUGAAGCCCGCCAAAGUCAUCACAACCCACAGCUCUGGAUGGGAUGGCAGCCCCAGGGCCGGUUUCCAGGCCCCUGAGGUGAGGAAAAAGUUUGCCCCUAACCCCUCAGCCAUCUUUCAGGCCUCGGCUCCCCGGAUCCUCAACGUGUGACUGCCCACUGAAGAGCAAGCCACAGGGGAUCAGAACUCACCACCGGGGGCUGCGGCGAGGCCUCAGGACCGGACGGCCCUGUCAGGGGAGGGUCCUCCGUUCUCACCAGGGGGCACCACUCCUCGGCAAGCCACACAGGGCGCCCUUCAGUUUUUAAAUCUGAAGGCCUCGAUCAUUUCUACUGUGAACUGAAUUGGUCUCUGGGGGUUGAGGAAUAUGGACAUAACAGAUCCUUGAAAGAUCCAGUAACGUCCAGGCUGUAUGAUGAUUUUAUAACCUAUUUUGGUAACUCAAGGUAAUGUCCUUGGAUAGUCCCACCAGCGGCCCCCCACAGGUUGUAGAAGAAAUCUUAGGUUAUCACCUGCAUGUGAUUCAUAAUGCUAAGUAACCAGAAACAAGUUUCCCAAAGGAACAGAAGAAUAUCAAUCAUAGGGUAUCUUUUUUAAAAAUGUAAUUUCUUUAUGGCCAAGAUGACCCUGGUUUUAACAAAACAUUUCUUGGGAUGAGUGACGUGCUGAAUGAAGGACAUUUAUCUUGUUGGUUUCUGGGAGUGUCUUUGGGGCAAGGGUGGCCCAAAAGGCCUUAAAAUGUCAUCUCAUUACAGGGAGCUCACUAGCUGCUGAGGAACCAGCUCAUUUUGGUUUUGGAAGUCCCUCUGCUGACUUUAUCGACCAACUCCAGCCAGUGCAGCCACCUGGAACCAGCUUGGUUCUCCUCUUUGCAAGCAGCCCUUGAAACGUUUGUGUCCUUUUAGAGAUUAUAGGCACAAACUAAGGACAGUUUUGGAUUUUAGGUCAAACUCCAAAAAGCAGCAGUUGAGAGAACUUUGGCUGUGCAGCCCGCCCCAGGCCGACGGGGGAUCCUUUGAGCUCUGCUGGCCACACACAGGCUCCUCCAGUGAGGAAGAGAGUCCCCGAUAAGGUACCGUGACACUGUCCAGUGGCUGCUGUCGGAACUGUGGCUGACACACAGAACAUUCAGCAAAGGGGCCUGAGCAAUGCCCCUAUUCUUCUCCAGACCAUCGGACUCCCUGAAGGCUGACACCAAGUGAAGUCUCAUACUUGGAUUGUCUCCCAGGGCCUCCUCCCCAAAGAACUUAUCUUUGAAGAACCAAAGCUUCCAAAACAAAGCCUUUAGUUCUUAUUAAGGGUGGAUAUAAAUAGUCAUUUCUGAGAUACUUCUGCAGUUCCUGUAGUUUUUUCUGUGGUAGCAGAUGGUCCCAGCAGGACCGGGUCACAGGAGUAACUUUUUCCAGGCCUCAGCAGAGACCCAUUCUUGCCAAACGGACCAGUGUGCUUCCUGGUUGGACACCAGGAGCUGUUUCCCUCAUUGCCUUGGCUUUAAGGAGGGUCUGAUCUCAGGUUGUUUUCCUUCACUCUAGGCUGUCAGAAAUCAUAUGUCCAGGGCCAAAAUGCAUCCUUCCAAAACUUUUUCAGAUUUUUAUAUAACCAUAAUCCUUCUUUUACUAGCUGCAAAUUCUUUUUGAAAACAAGUGGAAGAAUUAAAUACACAAACCCCUACA